This 5568-nucleotide long non-coding RNA is filed under the name Homo sapiens (human). RNAcentral describes it as "HSALNT0072005". Lineage: Eukaryota; Metazoa; Chordata; Mammalia; Primates; Hominidae. The record is from RNAcentral.
CGCAGGCCUGGGAGCGGCCUGUGAUAACUGGUGUAUCUGGCAGGAGUAGCAGCUGCCCCUUGGCGCGACUGCUGGAGCCGCGAACUAGAGAAACACAGACACGCCUCAUAGAGCAACAGCGUCUCUCGGAGCGUGGAGCCCGCCAAGCUCGAGCUGAGCUUUCGCUUGCCGUCCACCACUGCCCACCACUGUCGUUUGCUGCCAUCGCAGACCUGCUGCUGACUUCCAUCCCUCUGGAUCCGGCAAGGUGUGUGCUGUGCUCCUGAUCCAGCAAGGUGCCCAUUGCCAGUCCCGAUUGGGCUAAAGGCUUGCCAUUGUUCCUGCACGGCUAAGUGCCUGGGUUCAUCCUAAUCGAGCUGAACACUAGUCACUGGGUUCUACGGUUCUCUUCCAUGACCCACGGCUUCUAAUAGAGCUAUAACACUCACCACAUGGCCUAAGAUUCCAUUCCUUGGAAUCCGUGAGGCCAAGAACCCCAGGUCAGAGAACACGAGGCUUGCCACCAUCUUGGAAGCGACCCACCACCAUCUUGGAAGUGGCUCGCCACCAUCUUGGGAGCUCUGUGAGCAAGGACCCCUGGUAACACAACCGAGGCUUCUCUGGGGUUUUUAAGGAAGAGUAUAGUUUAGGCACUUAGAAAUGUCUUUGUUUUUAAAGUGCACUGUAAAAGCAUCAUGUGGUCUAACCUUAAAAUAAUUCUCUUUUUGAAGACCCAGGAUUCAGUGUGGGCUCUGCCCAGAGCUUAGAGAUCCAGUUAAAAAAUAAAUAGUCCCUAUCUAAAUAAAAUUGGUCUCCUUAUACAAUCCUAUGAUAGAUUUCUAUAAUUUUAUGUUUGAUUUGGCAUCCAUCAUCAAUCUCCCUCUAGCAGUACCAGACUUUUUCUUUAUAUACCUUAUGAUGUAAAUUUUGCUAUUUGAUUUUCACCUGUGUUGUUUCAUUUAAUAUCUAAAUUUAUGGCUAUUUAGCUGACAACUGCCUAGUGUUGUGAAACAGGUUAUCAAAUAUCUGAAAGUCUAAGAUAGAAAAAAAAAGGUCUUUAUGAAUCUAUAAGAUGUACUUCUAUCGGCAUGCCUAAUAUGUCUAUGUAUUUGUGUGUUGAGUACAUAAUGUUUCACUACUGAAAAUAUAUAAAAGAGCUCUAAUUAAUUGGCUUAAAGAAAAAUAGAAGCACUUAAAUCAAAUACCUUCUUAAAAAAAAGGGAAGACUAGUCGAAUGCUUUUUCUUUUUCUUUUUUUGAGAUGGAGCUUCGCUCCUGUCGCCCAGGCUGGAGUGCAAUGGCAUGAUCUUGGCUGAAUACAACCUCUGUCUCUUGGGUUUAAGCAAUUCUCCUGCCUCAGCCUCCCAUGUAGUUGGCAUUACAGGCAAGCACCACCACACAUGGCUAAUUUUUGUAUUUUUAGUAGAGAUGGGGUUUUGCCAUGUUGGUCAGGGUGGUCUUGAAUUCCUGACCUCAGGUGAUCUGCCCACCUUGGCCUCCCAAAGUGCUGAGACUAUAGCAUGAGCCACUGUGCGUGGCUGUCCAAUGCUUUUUCAAGUUUACAUGAUUUAAGUAAAGUCCUUUUUUUUUUUUUUUUUGAGACAGACUCUGGCUCUGUUGCCCAGGCUGGAGUGCAGUGGCAUGAUAUCAGCUCACUGCAACCUCUGCUUCCCGGGUUCAAGUGAUUCUCCUGCCUCAGCUUCGGAGUAGCUGGGAUUACAGGUGCACAGCACCACCCUCGGCUAAUUUUUCGUAUUUCUGGUAGAGAUGGGGUUUCACCAUGUUAGCCAGGCUGGUCUCGAUCUCCUGACCUCAUGAUCCACCCACCUAGGCCUCCCAAAGUGCUGGGAUUACAGGUGUGAGCCACUGUGCCCAGCUGUAAAAUCUUUACUAAAUAAGCUAGCUUUAAAAUUACUGAUAAAGUAAUAUUAGAAAUGUCUUAAGCAUUGCCAGCAUACAUUUUUGUUUGCAUUUAUUAAUCAAGCAAUUUCAUACUUAUCCCUGCCAAAUACUAUAAGGUGUCAAAAUUUGGCAUAGGGGUUACAAACCUAUAAACCCAGCCCAAGAUUGCUUUCAUAAUCUUUAAUAAAUAAGACAUUGCUAUUGGUUUAAUGAAAACAGCUAUAUUUUGAAUUAUUUAGUAAAAUUACCAUAACUUCUGAUAUUGUGGCAUUAGGCAGUGUAAUCCACAGGCAGCAAGGAAGUUUGUUUGGGGGAAAGGACUAUUACUGUCUUUGUUUCAAAGCUAAAAUAUAAAUUAAAUUCCUUCUAAAGUUUGGGAAUAAGCAAGGACAGCUUGGAGGUUAGAAGCAAGAUGGAGUCAGUUAGGUCCUGUCUUUUUCACUGUCUCAGAAUUUUGCAAAGGUGAGUUUCAUAACUUUAAUUGAUGACUAUCACAGUUUUCAUAAAUAAUGUAGGUAAAUGAAUAAAAUAAAAUAGACAGAUGUAAUGGGAUAAAUACUUGUAGGCAAACUUGUCAUAAUUUAGAAUCUAAAGUUAUACUAAAAUAUUUCAUUAUUUAGGUAUUUUCCAAUAAAAAUAUAUUGUAGGAAAACAUUCUUUCUAGAAAAAAGUGUCCUUUUAAAAAAGGUGGACAAUUUUUUUCUAAUUCAAAGCUUAAAGGUUGUGUACAAAACAAGGUAAGAGGAGCCAGGAAAUAAGAGAGAUGUAAAGAAACUUAUAGAAAUAAAGAGGUAUAUUUUGGUAAGAAAGCUUAAAGAGAAAUAAUUUUAUAUGAGAAAGAAUAUUACAUGGUAAAUUUAGACCUAGAAUAAAAUGACUGGUUGUUUAAGAAAGGGAUGUUCAGGACAAACCAGAAAGUCCAAGCAUGUCAUGAAUGGUCUGGGUAAGUCACAAUGAAAGAAUUUAUUUAAAAAAAACCCCAAAACUUAUAUGAUCAAGUUGUCUGUAGUUAAAGGGAAAUUACAAUGGUCUUUCCAGAGACUUGGUUUGAUGUAAAAAAACCCAAAAACAUUUAUAUAGUAAAGAAUUGAUUAGAACAAUAAAAGUUCCUUAGGGUAUUGAUUUACUCUUAAUAAAUUAUAAGAGAUUUUAUUUAUAUCUUAACCCAAAGUUAAACUUCUAUUGCAUCUUGCUGUUUUUGGUUUUCUCUCCCCUUUUAAAAGGAGUGAAAUAAUAAUGGUUUCCUUCAACUCAUAUAAGUUUUUGUUUCCUCAACUUCUGUUUGUUGUGGCCUGAUGCUAACAAUAUUCUUAAAGAUCUGAAGGAAAUGUUUUCUUCCAACAUAAUGUUCUGUACACUGCAGAAGGGUUUUUCUUUUGCCUUUUGGUAACUGGCCUAACAGAUUUUAGGUUUUAUAAAAAUAAUUCCUAUGCCAUUAUUAUUAAGUUUUGAUUUGCUUAGGAAAAAAACUGAGAUUAAAUUUUUUUUUUUAAGUUAAGGUUAUUACAUCCAUGUAUCUUUCUGUAUGUGAUUUUAAAGUACUUGUGACAUUAAGUUACAGGGCUUUGACUCCUGGGUCUAAAAAGGACACCAAGUCCUGCUAAGUCUUAAAACACCGACAGCAAUUAAAACCUCAUCUUCAGGCCCUCUUGAUUGGCAUCAGAAUAUGCCAAUCAAAAUAAACUGCAUUCCUGAGACACAAGGUCAGAAGUUAAAGCCAUUCAACGCCUCAAAUUCCAGGGACUAUUGUGGAAGCGGUGGGCAUGUGGGAUUGUAAGGGCUGAUUUUAAGAGAUAAAAUAAGUUCAAUUUCUCUAUAAAUUAACCAGUAAUGUCAAAGACACUCUUAUUCAAGACCAGCAUAUGGACCGCUGUGUCAGAUUAACAAGAUUUUCUUGAAGCAUUAACCAACUCCUUAAUAAAGGUUAUAAAGGUUAUAAAAGGCUUAUGGAAGUUAAAUUUUAUGACCAAUAUUAAGAUUUUAUAGAUUAUUUAUAAAAUUUUGAAAAACAAAUUUAUUUGGCUUCAUGCUGUUUUUAUUAGAGCUAAUUGUUUAGAAAGUUAAGUGUCCUCUCUUAAAGAAUUAAGGUUUUCACUUUUUUUUUUUCAAACCCUUGAGUUAUCACUCUGGUUAAAUGAAUGACUUAUUUUACAAUAACCUGUAAUCCUAUUUUGUGAUAUCAAGUGUAAACCUUUGAUAUUUGACAAACUUUCCAAAAUCAAAAUUAUAAAUUAUGUCUUUUUUUUGGCUGGGCACAUACCUGUAAUUCAAGCAUUUUGGGAGGCCAAGGAGGGAGGAUCGUUUGAGGUCAAGAGUUUGAGACCAGCCUGGCCAACAUGGUGAAACUCUGUCUCUACCAAAAAAUACAAAAAUUAGCUGGGCAUGGUGGCACACACCUGUAAUCACAACUACUGGGGAGGCUGAGGCAGGAGAAUCACUUGAACCCAGGAGAUGGAGGUUGCAGUGAGCUGAGAUCAUGCCACUGCACUCCAGCCUGGGUGACAGAGCGAGACUCUGUCUCAAAAAAAAAUUAUGUCUUUUUUUGAACUAAUUAAUCCUUUAAGAUAUUAUUAAUAGGUUCCCUAAUGUCAAAAAAUGACAUAUUUGGUUAUUUGGUAUAAAAAUUAUACAGGAAACACCAUCAAAUAAGAAAUGGUGUUUGGUUUUCUUUGGGCUGUAUUUGUAUAAAAAUGUUAUUGGUAUGUAUUCUAAAAUUAUGGGAAACUUCUAUAAUUCUGAUACGACUUAGUGUACAUUAUCAGUAAUAAUUAUAAUUGUUAUGUUAAAUUAUUGUGUGCAACAGAGGUAACAAAUUUCCUCAUCAAUUGUGUCUUUGACUAUGGCUGCCCUAAAACUUUUUGUCAUCCACAGACAAUUAUUGUCUUUUUUUGGUUCUCUUUAGAAGGUAGUUUUAUAAAACUCUAACAGGUGCUCUUGAACACAGGUUUCUGAUAACAUUGGAGAUUGUGACAUCAGAAUAGAUGAAAAACUUUCAGGACUCAUGGAGAGAUAAAAUAUUCAUGAAUAUCAAGCAGAAUAGGAAUUAACUUCAUGGAUUAAACUAAUAGAAGUCUGAAGUAAUCUGUUUAACUUUUUGCCUAAAAUGGUGCUGAUUCUUUUGUUUUUCAAAGUCAAGAAAAUGUUUAAGCUAUUUACAGAUUCUAACAAUUGAGUAAGUAUACUCCUAUGAAUAAAAUUUGGAGCAUAUUUCUUUCUCUGUACCUGAUUUCUACAGAAUUUGGAAACUAUUUGUGAGUAUUCUUAACUUACGACAAUACAGUUAUUUGCAUAAAUGCAAUAAGAAUCUGUUUUCAUUUGUAACAGGACACAAUUGGAGAAACUAGUUACUUUACCGAGGCUCUUUACUGGGAUGGUGUGCUUUGCUUUAAGGAAUCAAACUUGGCUUAUGGAAUCAAUACAAGCCCCUUGGGAAAACUGGCCUCAUACUUUUGUCUAUACAGUCCCUGUACAGGGUUCCUGACCUGUGCCAACCCAGCUCCUAUGGUCCCACCCAGAAGCAAUUCAGCCCACAGAAGGGCAGCUUUGACGCCUAUUUCAUCUCCACCCCAGUCAAUCAACAGCAAGCACCUAUUACCUGGCCACCCCCUCCCUUCCCCCAAACUGCCUUUGAAAAACCCCUGACCUAAGACCUUUGGAGGAGAUCAUUUGAGUACAAACUCCAUUUCCC